GAUGAACGCUGGCGGCGUGCUUAACACAUGCAAGUCGAACGAUGAAGCCCAGCUUGCUGGGUGGAUUAGUGGCGAACGGGUGAGUAACACGUGAGUAACCUGCCCUUAACUCUGGGAUAAGCCUGGGAAACUGGGUCUAAUACCGGAUAGGAGCGCCUACCGCAUGGUGGGUGUUGGAAAGAUUUAUCGGUUUUGGAUGGACACGCGGCCUAUCAGCUUGUUGGUGAGGUAAUGGCUCACCAAGGCGACGACGGGUAGCCGGCCUGAGAGGGUGACCGGCCACACUGGGACUGAGACACGGCCCAGACUCCUACGGGAGGCAGCAGUGGGGAAUAUUGCACAAUGGGCGAAAGCCUGAUGCAGCGACGCCGCGUGAGGGAUGACGGCCUUCGGGUUGUAAACCUCUUUCAGUAGGGAAGAAGCGAAAGUGACGGUACCUGCAGAAGAAGCACCGGCUAACUACGUG
This 466-nucleotide ribosomal RNA is filed under the name uncultured bacterium. RNAcentral describes it as "partial 16S ribosomal RNA". It matches the Rfam family "Bacterial small subunit ribosomal RNA", at positions 28 to 507 of the family's 1533-position model. The record is from RNAcentral.